GGGCUGGGGCAAUGCUGAUGAAAGGCAAAUUCCUGAGAGAAAAAUCACCCAGAUUUUUCAGUGCCUUCUCUAGCUUUCUGGAAGUUGUUAUGAGUGGACCUGACUACCUAGAGAGAGUAAUACAGAAGCUCCCUGCCGAUCACAGCUACCUCAUUACCAUGUUCCUCCAAGAUGGCCGCCCCUGAGGAGAAUCAUCAACUGGGCUUUACGGAAGAGAGAAAUCCAAACGACCAUCAGCAACAAAUGAAAGACUGAAGUUGAAAGGCAAGUCUUCAGAUUUGAAUUUCAAGAUUGCCAAGAAUGACGAGUUGGACUUGGUCUAGUUACUUCCACAGCAGCAGGAGGAACAUGUGUGUGACUCAGGAUAACUGGGGAAGCCUUGGCUAGGCUUUCCUCAUGUCAACCUACCACUCAAAGGGAGAAAACCUCCUGAUCAGAGGUGCCCAGAACCCAGGAAAUCCAUAAUUUUUGAAUGCUGGCUGAGGUCUGUGACCUCUGACUGAAUGGUUUCCAAGCUCCGAAUUCCUAGGUGAUGUUUUCAUUUGUUCACAGUUGCUGAAGAAGGGAAAGGCUCUCUGAUUUACGUGUAAGCAAAACAAUCUAAACAGUAGGAUAAAAUCAUGUUGGAAUGGAGUUCUGUGUGGAUGCUCCUUUGAACCAAAUCAGUUCCACAACUGACCCUG
This 683-nucleotide long non-coding RNA is filed under the name Pan troglodytes (chimpanzee). RNAcentral's name for it is "lincRNA". The record is from RNAcentral. Lineage: Eukaryota; Metazoa; Chordata; Mammalia; Primates; Hominidae.